AUCUUUGCGCUUGGGGCAAUGACGUAACUAGUGAAGUUAUACCAAGGCACGUCAAUUGCUGGUUGAAAACUAUUUUCAUACCCCCUCUUUGGCCUUCGUGGGUCGUUGAGAAUUUCUCACAGGGCUCCCUCACUUAGGAGAGAGUAAAGCC
Non-coding RNA from Triticum aestivum (bread wheat), 151 nucleotides. Lineage: Eukaryota; Viridiplantae; Streptophyta; Magnoliopsida; Poales; Poaceae. The record is from Rfam.